CAGAUAUUAGUUUAAUAAAAAUAUUAAUUUUGGAGAUUAAUGUUAAAAGAUUUAUUUUUAUAUCUGA
Molecule: transfer RNA, 67 nt
Filed under: Pseudoides sp. BMNH 850825
Lineage: Eukaryota; Metazoa; Arthropoda; Insecta; Coleoptera; Chrysomelidae
Description: tRNA-Pro
Source: RNAcentral